UAGCUUAGUUGUAGAACGUGUGGCUUUUAAUCAUGUGGUCGUGGGUUCGAUCCCCAC
RNAcentral lists this transfer RNA (57 nucleotides) under Ipomoea nil (Japanese morning glory). It matches the Rfam family "tRNA", at positions 8 to 63 of the family's 71-position model. From Rfam's summary of the family: Transfer RNA (tRNA) molecules are approximately 80 nucleotides in length. Their secondary structure includes four short double-helical elements and three loops (D, anti-codon, and T loops). The record is from Rfam by way of RNAcentral. Lineage: Eukaryota; Viridiplantae; Streptophyta; Magnoliopsida; Solanales; Convolvulaceae.